GACGAACGCUGGCGGCGUGCCUAAUACAUGCAAGUUGAGCGCUGAAGGUUGGUCCUUGUACCAACUGGAUGAGCAGCGAACGGGUGAGUAACGCGUGGGGAAUCUGCCUUUGAGCGGGGGACAACAUUUGGAAACGAAUGCUAAUACCGCAUAAAAACUUUAAACACAAGUUUUAAGUUUGAAAGAUGCAAUUGCAUCACUCAAAGAUGAUCCCGCGUUGUAUUAGCUAGUUGGUGAGGUAAAGGCUCACCAAGGCGAUGAUACAUAGCCGACCUGAGAGGGUGAUCGGCCACAGUGGGACUGAGACACGGCCCAAACUCCUACGGGAGGCAGCAGUAGGGAAUCUUCGGCAAUGGACGAAAGUCUGACCGAGCAACGCCGCGUGAGUGAAGAAGGUUUUCGGAUCGUAAAACUCUGUUGGUAGAGAAGAACGUUGGUGAGAGUGGAAAGCUCAUAAAGUGACGGUAACUACCCAGAAAGGGACGGCUAACUACGUG
RNAcentral lists this ribosomal RNA (497 nucleotides) under uncultured bacterium. RNAcentral's name for it is "partial 16S ribosomal RNA". It matches the Rfam family "Bacterial small subunit ribosomal RNA", at positions 28 to 507 of the family's 1533-position model. The record is from RNAcentral.